This 123-nucleotide microRNA precursor is filed under the name Dasypus novemcinctus (nine-banded armadillo). Its description in RNAcentral is "miRNA (ENSDNOG00000037635.1)". The record is from RNAcentral. Lineage: Eukaryota; Metazoa; Chordata; Mammalia; Cingulata; Dasypodidae.
UCUUGUUACUCUGUUACAUAGAAAUGUGUGUGUAUAUAUAUAUACAUAUAUAUAUAUAUGUAUUAUAUAUACAUGCAUAUAUAUACAUACAUACAUAUAUAUGCAUAUUUAUAUACACAUAUA